CAGGGUAGAGCUUGGUAAGUUAAGCGUUUCAUUUACACUGGAAAAUUAUCUGUGCGAAUCAGGUUAUCCUGA
This 72-nucleotide transfer RNA is filed under the name Togoperla limbata. RNAcentral describes it as "tRNA-Val". It matches the Rfam family "tRNA". From Rfam's summary of the family: Transfer RNA (tRNA) molecules are approximately 80 nucleotides in length. Lineage: Eukaryota; Metazoa; Arthropoda; Insecta; Plecoptera; Perlidae. The record is from RNAcentral.